AUUGAACGCUGGCGGCAUGCCUUACACAUGCAAGUCGAACGGUAACAGGUCUUCGGAUGCUGACGAGUGGCGAACGGGUGAGUAAUACAUCGGAACGUGCCUAGUAGUGGGGGAUAACUACUCGAAAGAGUGGCUAAUACCGCAUGAGAUCUACGGAUGAAAGCAGGGGACCGCAAGACCUUGUGCUACUAGAGCGGCCGAUGGCAGAUUAGGUAGUUGGUGGGAUAAAAGCUUACCAAGCCGACGAUCUGUAGCUGGUCUGAGAGGACGAUCAGCCACACUGGGACUGAGACACGGCCCAGACUCCUACGGGAGGCAGCAGUGGGGAAUUUUGGACAAUGGGCGAAAGCCUGAUCCAGCAAUGCCGCGUGCAGGAUGAAGGCCUUCGGGUUGUAAACUGCUUUUGUGCGGAACGAAAAGCCCCGGGUUAAUACCCUGGGGUCAUGACGGUACCGUAAGAAUAAGCACCGGCUAACUACGUGCCAGCAGCCGCAGUAA
This 498-nucleotide ribosomal RNA is filed under the name uncultured bacterium. Its description in RNAcentral is "partial 16S ribosomal RNA". It matches the Rfam family "Bacterial small subunit ribosomal RNA", at positions 30 to 523 of the family's 1533-position model. The record is from RNAcentral.